CAGAGUUACAAGACUCCCUAAACCCUUGUGAACCUACCUUCUACUGUUGCCUUCGGCGGCGGCUCAGCCCCCCGCGCCCCGUAACGGGACGGCCCGCCGCAGGAUACCCAAACUCUGUAUUUAUUGUACCUCUCUGAGUAUUCUUAACUAAAUAAAUCA
Molecule: unclassified non-coding RNA, 159 nt
Filed under: soil metagenome
Description: partial internal transcribed spacer 1
Source: RNAcentral